GGGUGCUCGACGGCCGGGGCACUUCAUGCUACAGUCGGGAGAAACAUGCCCGGGCUGCUCUGUUCUGUGUUGUUUUUUUUGCAGCCGUUCCUUCGGGAGAGAGCUGAGCCCCCAGAUGCUAAGCAGAGGACGGAUGUGGUUCCAUCUGGUGGACGAGGGCGACUGAGACGCGGUACCGGCUCCUGUGUCGGGGCCCCUGCAGGCCUGGCUCCAGGCCCAGCUCCUCUGCCUGCAAGCUCUGUGAGUGCAAACAGGCUACUGCAUCUAAGACCCAGUUUAAAAAAAAAGGGCGGGGGGGAUUGUGCUCAAUAAGGAGGGUAUUUGGAGAAUUUCGCGCUCUGCUUCCCAUGGAGCAAACCCUCGGGGUAGCAGCUCCUCCGUCACCAGCUGUGGGGAAAGCAUCAGGGCUGCAGGUGGGACCUCGUCACCUGGCUCCCAAGGUGACCAGGGCAGGUAAGCGGGGGAGGAAUGGGUCUCUGUCCUGAAAGCAGCACAGGCUCAGGGAAGGGACGGCGUGAGGGAAGCGCGGCCUCCGCCUCAAGCCUGGACUUCCUCCUGCCGCGGAUGCAGCCGGGCCACCCUGGCGUGGGCUGCAGACCAGAGCCACUGGCCCGGCCCCGUCUCCCUUCAGCCAGGAGGCACGAAAUGGUCUUUGAAAGUUAAAAAAAAAAAAAAAAAGUUAGUGUGAGCAAAAUUUUUAGACAAAAGCCCAAGGGCAUUUCCUCCCUCUAAAUAUCUUUGGCCUAUUUCCUUUUUCUGUACUUUUUGAUCAUGACUCAAAGCAAGAAGAGAAACUGAAGCUGCCUUGCCCAGCGGCUGGCUUGGGGCGCGGGGCGCGGGGUUCUCCCCUGCCCACCCGGCCUCUCCUCGGCCUCCCCUUGGGCAGCCACUCUGCCCUCCCUGCCCGAGAGAGAGGCCUCGGGAGGAAGGGGCCGUGUCCCACGGAUCCGGAUUCCCUGGAGAGCGCGGCCAGCGUGGCUGCAGGGCUCGGGCCGGUGGCGGUUGCUGAGCUCCCUGCUCUCCCAUGUGAUGGGAAUCUUGAGCCCUCGGAACAUCAGUUUUCCUUUCUGUGAAAUGGGCGGAGGUUGGGGUACGUGCAAAGUAGGGGGCCUACUUCC
This 1118-nucleotide long non-coding RNA is filed under the name Canis lupus familiaris (dog). Its description in RNAcentral is "lncRNA (ENSCAFG00000054573.1)". Lineage: Eukaryota; Metazoa; Chordata; Mammalia; Carnivora; Canidae. The record is from RNAcentral.